AUUGAACGCUGGCGGAAUGCUUUACACAUGCAAGUCGAGCGGCAGCGCGGGGCAACCUGGCGGCGAGCGGCGAACGGGUGAGUAAUACAUCGGAACGUACCCAGCUGUGGGGGAUAGCCCGGCGAAAGCCGGAUUAAUACCGCAUACGACCUGAGGGUGAAAGGGGGGGAUCGCAAGACCUCUCGCAGUUGGAGCGGCCGAUGGCGGAUUAGCUAGUUGGUAGGGUAAAGGCCUACCAAGGCGACGAUCCGUAGCUGGUCUGAGAGGACGACCAGCCACACUGGAACUGAGACACGGUCCAGACUCCUACGGGAGGCAGCAGUGGGGAAUUUUGGACAAUGGGGGCAACCCUGAUCCAGCCAUUCCGCGUGAGUGAAGAAGGCC
This 384-nucleotide ribosomal RNA is filed under the name uncultured bacterium. Its description in RNAcentral is "bacterial SSU rRNA". It matches the Rfam family "Bacterial small subunit ribosomal RNA", at positions 29 to 416 of the family's 1533-position model. The record is from RNAcentral.